ACCUGGCUGGCUCAGAUGGUAGAGCAUGUAAUUCUUAAUCUCAGGGUCUUGAGUUUGAGCCCCAUGUUGGGUG
Molecule: transfer RNA, 73 nt
Filed under: Felis catus (domestic cat)
Lineage: Eukaryota; Metazoa; Chordata; Mammalia; Carnivora; Felidae
Also listed under: 1 other name
Rfam family: tRNA
About the family: Transfer RNA (tRNA) molecules are approximately 80 nucleotides in length. Their secondary structure includes four short double-helical elements and three loops (D, anti-codon, and T loops). Further hydrogen bonds mediate the characteristic L-shaped molecular structure. tRNAs have two regions of fundamental functional importance: the anti-codon, which is responsible for specific mRNA codon recognition, and the 3' end, to which the tRNAs corresponding amino acid is attached (by aminoacyl-tRNA synthetases). tRNAs cope with the degeneracy of the genetic code in two manners: having more than one tRNA (with a specific anti-codon) for a particular amino acid; and 'wobble' base-pairing, i.e. permitting non-standard base-pairing at the 3rd anti-codon position.
Source: Rfam by way of RNAcentral